Molecule: ribosomal RNA, 439 nt
Filed under: uncultured bacterium
Lineage: Bacteria
Description: partial 16S ribosomal RNA
Rfam family: Bacterial small subunit ribosomal RNA
Source: RNAcentral
CCUACGGGAGGCAGCAGUGGGGAAUAUUGCACAAUGGGCGAAAGCCUGAUGCAGCAACGCCGCGGGAGCGAUGAAGGCCUUCGGGUCGUAAAGCUCUGUCCUCAAGGAAGAUAAUGACGGUACUUGAGGAGGAAGCCCCGGCUAACUACGUGCCAGCAGCCGCGGUAAUACGUAGGGGGCUAGCGUUAUCCGGAAUUACUGGGCGUAAGGGGUGCGUAGGUGGUUUCUUAAGUCAGAGGUGAAAGGCUACGGCUCAACCGUAGUGAGCCUUUGAAACUGGGAAACGUGAGUGCAGGAGAGGAGAGUGGAAUUCCUGGUGUAGCGGUGAAAUGCGUAGAUAUUAGGAGGAACACCAGUUGCGAAGGCGGCUCUCUGGACUGUAACUGACACUGAGGCACGAAAGCGUGGGGAGCAAACAGGAUUAGAUACCCCAGUAGUC